This is a long non-coding RNA of Oncorhynchus keta (chum salmon), 1790 nucleotides long. RefSeq lists it as uncharacterized. Lineage: Eukaryota; Metazoa; Chordata; Actinopteri; Salmoniformes; Salmonidae. The record is from RefSeq and is a predicted model, not a curated record. The transcript has 4 exons.
GAGCAGAGGCAGAGUGUUAAGGUGGCCUCUGCAUUUUCAUCUCCAUCCCAUACCCAGACCUGGGUGGUAUGGAAUGAUAAUCAGCAGGAACAGGUUAUAACUCUGUUACCACCUACCCCCAUACUCUCUUCCCAGUCAACACCAUCUAAACAUGGGAUUGCUGGACAGAACCACAGGAUGAAUCCCCCAGUUGACCACUAGACCCACAGCCAAUCCCUCACCGUGGGACUCCUGGACCCUCUAGAUACCAAAAACAACUGAAAGAAGACUCGCACAGAAGGACCAGCAGACAAAAAGCGUUGACCGGCAGCCCAGUCUCAUCAUUGGAACGCCGACUUCACCUCACACGGAGACCCCUGCUCAGGCUUCUACAAAGGGCAUAUUAGGCAUCUUCCUACUACGACCACACAGGACAACCCGAUCUCACCAACCCAAGAUCAACUAAGAACCAAAGACAAAGAAACCCCUCAAAGAAAACAGCUUACCCCCACCAUACCAGGGGACCCAGAGACCCGGUCAUACCCUCAUAAGGUUGACAUAGGGAAGGGCUCCUUUUGGGCAACACAAACCCUCCUAACCUUCCCCCACAUCAUACCCUGACCAGGGUGAUUGAGGGAACGGAGCAGAGGCAGAGUGUUAAGGUGGCCUCUGCAUUUUCAUCUCCAUCCCAUACCCAGACCUGGGUGGUAUGGAAUGAUAAUCAGCAGGAACAGGUUAUAACUCUGUUACCACCUACCCCCAUACUCUCUUCCCAGUCAACACCAUCUAAACAUGGGAUUGCUGGACAGAACCACAGGAUGAAUCCCCCAGUUGACCACUAGACCCACAGCCAAUCCCUCACCGUGGGACUCCUGGACCCUCUAGAUACCAAAAACAACUGAAAGAAGACUCGCACAGAAGGACCAGCAGACAAAAAGCGUUGACCGGCAGCCCAGUCUCAUCAUUGGAACGCCGACUUCACCUCACACGGAGACCCCUGCUCAGGCUUCUACAAAGGGCAUAUUAGGCAUCUUCCUACUACGACCACACAGGACAACCCGAUCUCACCAACCCAAGAUCAACUAAGAACCAAAGACAAAGAAACCCCUCAAAGAAAACAGCUUACCCCCACCAUACCAGGGGACCCAGAGACCCGGUCAUACCCUCAUAAGGUUGACAUAGGGAAGGGCUCCUUUUGGGCAACACAACCCCUCCUAACCUUCCCCCACAUCAUACCCUGACCAGGGUGAUUGAGGGAACGGAGCAGAGGCAGAGUGUUAAGGUGGCCUCUGCAUUUUCAUCUCCAUCCCAUACCCAGACCUGGGUGGUAUGGAAUGUUAAUCAGCAGGAACAGGUUCAAACUCUGUUACUACUUACCUCCAUACUCUCUUCCCAGUCAACCCCAUCUAAACAUGGGAUUGCUGGGUAGAACCACAGGCUGAAUCCCCCAGUUGACCACUAGACCCACAGCCAAUCCCACACCGUGGGACUCCUGGACCCUCUAGAUACCAAAAAACAACUGAAAGAAGAUUCGCACAGAAGGACCAGCAGAUAAAAAGCGAGGACCGGCAGCCCAGUCUCAUCAUUGGAAACGCCGACUUCACCUCACACAGAGACCCCUGUUCAGGCUUCAACUAAUGGCACUACAGGCUCCUACCUACCCCAACCACACAGGACAACCCGAUCUCACCAACCCAAGAUCAACUAAGAACCAAAGACAAAGAAACCCCUCAAAGAAAACAGCUUACCCCCACCAUACCAGGGGACCCAGAGACCCGGUCAUACCCUCAUAAGGUUGACAUAGGGAAGGG